CGGCGGACGGGUGAGUAACGCGUGGGUAACCUGCCUCAUGCAGGGGGAUAACAGUUGGAAACGGCUGCUAAUACCGCAUAAGCGCACAGUACCGCAUGGUACGGUGUGAAAAACUCCGGUGGUAUGAGAUGGACCCGCGUCUGAUUAGGUAGUUGGUGGGGUAACGGCCUACCAAGCCGACGAUCAGUAGCCGACCUGAGAGGGUGACCGGCCACAUUGGGACUGAGACACGGCCCAA
RNAcentral lists this ribosomal RNA (238 nucleotides) under uncultured bacterium. Its description in RNAcentral is "partial 16S ribosomal RNA". It matches the Rfam family "Bacterial small subunit ribosomal RNA", at positions 96 to 334 of the family's 1533-position model. The record is from RNAcentral.